Molecule: non-coding RNA, 66 nt
Organism: Mercenaria mercenaria
Lineage: Eukaryota; Metazoa; Mollusca; Bivalvia; Venerida; Veneridae
Source: the annotation of a RefSeq genome assembly
UUGAGAAUAAACUAAAAAAGUUGUUUGGUUCAUACCCAGAAUAUAGAAUUAAUUUUCUUUCUCAUA